Molecule: ribosomal RNA, 669 nt
Filed under: Tenerus sp. G0313
Lineage: Eukaryota; Metazoa; Arthropoda; Insecta; Coleoptera; Cleridae
Description: partial 28S large subunit ribosomal RNA
Rfam family: Eukaryotic large subunit ribosomal RNA
Source: RNAcentral
AACACGGACCAAGGAGUCUAGCAUGUGCGCGAGUCAUUGGGACUCACUAAACCUAAAGGCGCAAUGAAAGUGAAGGUCCGCCUUGCGCGGACCAAGGGAAGAUGGGCGCGUCCGGUGAUUACCACGGCCGCCCCGCACUCCCGGGGCGUCUCGUUCUCAUUGCGAGAAGAGGCGCACCAAGAGCGUACACGCUGGGACCCGAAAGAUGGUGAACUAUGCCUGGUCAGGACGAAGUCAGGGGAAACCCUGAUGGAGGUCCGUAGCGAUUCUGACGUGCAAAUCGAUCGUCGGAACUGGGUAUAGGGGCGAAAGACUAAUCGAACCAUCUAGUAGCUGGUUCCCUCCGAAGUUUCCCUCAGGAUAGCUGGCGCUCGUCGCCUACGAGUCUCAUCCGGUAAAGCGAAUGAUUAGAGGCAUUGGGGUCGAAACGGCCUCAACCUAUUCUCAAACUUUAAAUGGGUGAGAUCUCCGGCUUGCUCAAACAUUUAAUGAAAUGAAGCCGUGAGACACGGAUCAGAGUGCCAAGUGGGCCAUUUUUGGUAAGCAGAACUGGCGCUGUGGGAUGAACCAAACGCCGAGUUAAAGCGCCUAAAUCGACGCUUAUGGGAUACCAUGAAAGGCGUUGGUAACUUAAGACAGCAGGACGGUGGCCAUGGAAGUCGGAAUCCG